This 255-nucleotide ribosomal RNA is filed under the name uncultured bacterium. RNAcentral's name for it is "partial 16S ribosomal RNA". It matches the Rfam family "Bacterial small subunit ribosomal RNA", at positions 524 to 776 of the family's 1533-position model. The record is from RNAcentral.
UACAGAGGCCCCAAGCAUUAUCCGGAAUCACUGGGCGUAAAGGGUGUGUAGGCGGUCGUGUUAGUCUUUUGUAAAAGCUCUUGGGCUUAACCCAGGAAAUGCAAAAGAAACGGCACGACUUUGAGGAUGUGAGAGGUAAAGGGAACUCAUGGUGUAGGGGUGAAAUCCGUUGAUAUCAUGGGGAACACCAAAUGCGAAGGCACUUUACUGGCACACUCCUGACGCUGAGACACGAAAGCGUGGGAAUCGAACGGG